This 267-nucleotide long non-coding RNA is filed under the name Fukomys damarensis (Damara mole-rat). RNAcentral describes it as "lncRNA (ENSFDAG00000030033.1)". Lineage: Eukaryota; Metazoa; Chordata; Mammalia; Rodentia; Bathyergidae. The record is from RNAcentral.
CAAGCUUCAUCUCUACCACAGAGUCCCUUUCUCCAUGUGCAUUUGGAAGUUGAACUCCCUUUAGACCAUCCAUUCACAGCCUUCCUCACUUAGUGGACAUCUUCAUGGGUUGAAUGAAGGGCAUGUUAGGAGUAGCAUUUGAUGUGCAACACUGACAGGAACUGCUGCAGUCCCCUUCAACACCAUAGCCAUAGGGCUUACACAGACGUUUGUGUGAAGAGGGAUAUAAGGUUUAUCAAGAGUCAUCAGAAGAGACAACAGGAAGAC